GUGCCAGCAGCCGCGGUAAUACGAAGGUCCCAAGCGUUGUUCGGAAUCACUGGGCGUAAAGGGAGCGUAGGCGGCGUGGUAAGUCAGAUGUGAAAUCCCGGGGCUCAACCCCGGAACUGCAUCCGAUACUGCCAUGCUUGAGGGUUGGAGAGGUAGCUGGAAUUCUCGGUGUAGCAGUGAAAUGCGUGGAUAUCGAGAGGAACACUCGUGGCGAAGGCGAGCUACUGGACAACAUCUGACGCUGAGGCUCGAAGGCUAGGGGAGCAAAAGGGAUUAGAUACCCCCGUAGUCC
Molecule: ribosomal RNA, 292 nt
Filed under: uncultured bacterium
Lineage: Bacteria
Description: partial 16S ribosomal RNA
Rfam family: Bacterial small subunit ribosomal RNA
Source: RNAcentral